Molecule: ribosomal RNA, 468 nt
Filed under: uncultured bacterium
Lineage: Bacteria
Description: partial 16S ribosomal RNA
Rfam family: Bacterial small subunit ribosomal RNA
Source: RNAcentral
GACGAACGCUGGCGGCGUGCUUAACACAUGCAAGUCGAACGGAAAGGCCCUGCUUUUGUGGGGUGCUCGAGUGGCGAACGGGUGAGUAACACGUGAGUAACCUGCCCUUGACUGUGGGAUAACUUCAGGAAACUGGGGCUCAUACCGGAUAGGAGCUCCUGCUGCAUGGUGGGGGUUGGAAAGUUUCGGCGGUUGUGGAUGGACUCGCUGCUUAUGCGCUUGUUGGUGGGGUAGUGGCUUACGAAGGCUUUGACGGGUAGCCGGCCUGAGAGGGUGACCGGCGACAUUGGUCCUGCGAUACGGCCCAGACUCCUACGGGAGGCAACAGUGGGGAAUAUUGCGCAAUGAGCGGACGCCUGAUGCAGCAGCCCCGCGUGCGGAAUGACGGCCUUCGGGUUGUAAACCGCUUUCGCCUGUGCCGAAGCGUGAGUGACGGUAAUGGGUAAAGAAGCACCGGCUAACUACGUG